RNAcentral lists this small RNA (27 nucleotides) under Bombyx mori (domestic silkworm). RNAcentral describes it as "ovarian small RNA-31828". Lineage: Eukaryota; Metazoa; Arthropoda; Insecta; Lepidoptera; Bombycidae. The record is from RNAcentral.
UGACGUGUUUACGACGACGUCGACUGC